This 986-nucleotide long non-coding RNA is filed under the name Nicotiana benthamiana. RNAcentral's name for it is "long non-coding RNA (NBEN_LNC022978)". The record is from RNAcentral. Lineage: Eukaryota; Viridiplantae; Streptophyta; Magnoliopsida; Solanales; Solanaceae.
UUUUCUGAUUCUUUACAAGUUAAAAAUAUGGUUGGAAGUGGAGAAUCUCCAUGUUUUCCCUUAGUUGUUUUUCUGGUAUCAAAUUUAUCUUCAUUUGAUCUAGGUUUACUACUGUGUUUGGUUGUUGCUGCUGAUGAUUGGCUUCCUUUUCUCUUUUGGAUCUUCUUGACCUUUAUUUGGUCAUUCCCCUGCUAUAUUUUUUAGUUUCAAGGUAUCUACCAUCUUCAUCUUGAAUGGAGUCAAUUUUGAGUUAAAAAUCUAUAUUUGGAACUCGUUUGGUUAGCUAAUCUUUAAUGUUAGUUGUGAAAAUCAUGACAUGGUUGAAUCUAGGGUUGACUAAGUCAUAUGUUAAUAUUAGCUUAAAUGGUUGUUGAAUUCAAUCAUGAAAUAUGUGAUAUUAUGAUGUACAUGUGUUAAAACUUGACAAAGUUGAUUGUUGAAUCAGUGUAUAUGCCUAUAAAACUAUGUCCUAAAUUCCUCUCUUAUAGUAGCACCAAAGGAAGUGAAUCUGACCCUUUAAAUGGUCAUAUGCAUCUCUUAAUAAUGCAUAGGUGUCUUGAUUUCUUCAGUAUAUGUCUAAGUUAUUUUCCCUCCCCCACUUUUUUCCUUUACUGAAACGAGAGCUAUGAAAUAAAUCAUGGUUUGAAAAUCUUUGCAUGUCUGUAGGGCUGACCUUAAACUUGGUUAGACUUAUUGACAAUAUUGUUUUUCCUUUACUCAUUUUUGUACUAGGAAUAACUUGGUAACAUUGUAUGCCCCUAGAUAUGAAGAUGUUUUGUGAAUGUAACCCUUUUCACAUCAUCAAAUUCAUGAGAAUCUUGGCUCAUUCAAAGCUGGAGCAGUAGCAGUUUAGAAAUUUCCUCUUUUUAUUUUAUUAUAAUUUAGUUUAAGGAGCUAAUGUAAUUUAUAUUUUGUAUCUUAUUUAAUUCUGGAAUUAGUAAUAAAUUGUACUAGACUUUAUAAAUUUAUAUACUCGUUAAUGAUGC